Molecule: ribosomal RNA, 490 nt
Filed under: uncultured bacterium
Lineage: Bacteria
Description: partial 16S ribosomal RNA
Rfam family: Bacterial small subunit ribosomal RNA
Source: RNAcentral
GAUGAACGCUAGCGGCAGGCCUAAUACAUGCAAGUCGAACGGGAUCCAGAUCAAAGCUUGCUUUGGUCUGGUGAGAGUGGCGCACGGGUGCGUAACGCGUGAGCAACCUACCCUUGUCAGGGGGAUAGCCCGGCGAAAGUCGGAUUAAUACCGCAUGACAUCAUUGAGAGGCAUCUUUCGAUGAUCAAAGAUUUAUCGGACAAGGAUGGGCUCGCGUGACAUUAGCUAGUUGGUAAGGUAACGGCUUACCAAGGCUGCGAUGUCUAGGGGCUCUGAGAGGGGACUCCCCCACACUGGUACUGAGACACGGACCAGACUCCUACGGGAGGCAGCAGUACGGAAUAUUGGUCAAUGGACGGAAGUCUGAACCAGCCAUGCCGCGUGCAGGAGGACGGCCCUAUGGGUUGUAAACUGCUUUUAUACGGGAACAAACGUCGGUACGUGUACCGGUCUGAGUGUACCGUAAGAAUAAGGAUCGGCUAACUCCGUG